Molecule: small nuclear RNA, 107 nt
Organism: Cavia aperea (Brazilian guinea pig)
Lineage: Eukaryota; Metazoa; Chordata; Mammalia; Rodentia; Caviidae
Source: Ensembl
GUGUUCGCUUUGGCAGCACACAUAUAUACCAAAAUUGGAACGAUACAGAGAACGUUAGUAUGACCCUUGUGCAAGGAUGUUCCAUAUAUGUAUUCUUAUUUAUUUUU